RNAcentral lists this ribosomal RNA (499 nucleotides) under uncultured bacterium. Its description in RNAcentral is "partial 16S ribosomal RNA". It matches the Rfam family "Bacterial small subunit ribosomal RNA", at positions 30 to 523 of the family's 1533-position model. The record is from RNAcentral.
AUUGAACGCUGGCGGCAUGCCUUACACAUGCAAGUCGAACGCGAAAGCGGAGCAAUCCGCGAGUAGAGUGGCGAACGGGUGAGUAAUACAUCGGAACAUUUCCAGUAGCGGGGGAUAACCUGUCGAAAGAUAGGCUAAUACCGCAUACGCCCUACGGGGGAAAGCGGAGGACCGCAAGGCUUCGCACUAUUGGAGUGGCCGAUGUCGGAUUAGCUAGUUGGCGGGGUAAAAGCCCACCAAGGCUACGAUCCGUAGCUGGUCUGAGAGGACGAUCAGCCACACUGGAACUGAGACACGGUCCAGACUCCUACGGGAGGCAGCAGUGGGGAAUUUUGGACAAUGGGCGCAAGCCUGAUCCAGCCAUGCCGCGUGAGUGAAGAAGGCCUUCGGGUUGUAAAGCUCUUUCGGUGGGGACGAAACGGUUCGUGCUAAUACCAUGAACUAAUGACGGUACCCGAAGAAGAAGCACCGGCUAACUACGUGCCAGCCGCCGCGGUAA